GAUGAACGCUGGCGGCGUGCCUAAUACAUGCAAGUCGAGCGAACGGACGAGAAGCUUGCUUCGCGGAUGUUAGCGGCGGAGGGGUGAGUAACACGUGGAUAACCUACCUAUAAGACUGGGAUAACUUCGGGAAACCGGAGCUAAUACCGGAGAAGAUUUUGAACCGCAUGGGUCAAAAGUGAAAGACGGUGGUGCUGGCACUUAUAGAGGGAUCCGGGCUGCAUUAGGUGGUUGGUAAGGUAACGGGUUACCAAGGCAACCAUGCAUAGGCGACCGGAGAGGGUGAUAGGCCACCUGGGAACGUAACCACGGUCCAUAGUACUAAGGGAGGCAGCAGUAGGGAACGUGCGGCAGUGGGCGAAAGCCUGACGGAGUAAGGCCGCGUGAGUUAUGACGGUCUUCCGAUCGUAAAACUGUGCUAUUAGGGAAGAACCUCUGUGUACGUAACUGUGCCCAUCGUGACGGUACUUGAUCAGAAAGCCACGGCUAACUACGUG
RNAcentral lists this ribosomal RNA (497 nucleotides) under uncultured bacterium. RNAcentral describes it as "partial 16S ribosomal RNA". It matches the Rfam family "Bacterial small subunit ribosomal RNA", at positions 28 to 507 of the family's 1533-position model. The record is from RNAcentral.